AGAAUCAACGCUGGCGGCGUGCCUAACACAUGCAAGUCGAACGAGAAAGUGGAGCAAUCCAUGAGUAAAGUGGCGACCGGGUGAGUAACACGUGACUAACCUACCUUCGAGUGGGGGAUAACAUCGGGAAACCGAUGCUAAUACCGCAUAACAUCGCAAGAUCAAAGCAGUAAUGCGCUUGAAGAGGGGGUCGCGGCUGAUUAGCUAGUUGGCGGGGUAACGCCCACAAGGCGAAGAUCGGUAGCCGGCCUGAGAGGGCGCACGGCCACACUGGAACUGAAACACGGUCCAGACUCCUACGGGAGGCAGCAGUGGGGAAUUUUGCGCAAUGGGGGAAACCCUGACGCAGCAACGCCGCGUGGAGGAUGAAGCCCCUUGGGGCGUAAACUCCUUCGACCAAGACGAUAAUGACGGUACUGGUGGAAGAAGCACCGGCUAACUCUGCGCCAGCAGCCGC
Molecule: ribosomal RNA, 457 nt
Filed under: uncultured bacterium
Lineage: Bacteria
Description: SSU rRNA
Rfam family: Bacterial small subunit ribosomal RNA
Source: RNAcentral